Molecule: ribosomal RNA, 445 nt
Filed under: uncultured Alphaproteobacteria bacterium
Lineage: Bacteria; Pseudomonadati; Pseudomonadota; Alphaproteobacteria
Description: bacterial SSU rRNA
Rfam family: Bacterial small subunit ribosomal RNA
Source: RNAcentral
CAUGUGGUUUAAUUCGACGCAACGCGAAGAACCUUACCUGGGCUAGACAACGGUGGACCUCCCCAGAGAUGGGGAUUUCCCUUCGGGGACUGCCGGAGUCAGGUGCUGCAUGGCUGUCGUCAGCUCGUGUCGUGAGAUGUUCGGUUAAGUCCCGCAACGAGCGCAACCCCCGCCUUCAGUUGCCAACGGUUCGGCCGUGCACUCUGGAGGAACUGCCUGUGACAAGCAGGAGGAAGGUGGGGAUGACGUCAAGUCCUCAUGGCCCUUAUGGGCUGGGCUACACACGUGCUACAAUGGCGGUGACAGAGGGAUGCAAUACCGCGAGGUGGAGCAAAUCCCUAAAAGCCGUCUCAGUUCGGAUUGUUCUCUGCAACUCGAGAGCAUGAAGUUGGAAUCGCUAGUAAUCGCAGAUCAGCUCGCUGCGGUGAAUACGUUCCCGGGCCUU